UGAAGGACAAGCACCCAUGAAGGCAAUUUUUUUGGUAUGAACAACUUCAUUAGAGAAGAUCCUCACAAUAGACAACCUAUAGAAACAUCACAUCAUAGUCAUAGAUUGGUAUUGUAUGUGCAAAAAGAGUGGAAAGUCCGUGGAUCUCCUAUUACUUCAUUGCGAGAUUGCUACAACCUUGAGGAAACUUCUUUGCUCAUAGGAUUAGCUUGAGUGAUGCCAAAAAGAGUAAUCGAUCUCUUAGCUUUUUGGCGAGGCAUUCAGGGCAAUCCUUUGAUUGGAACAGUGUGAAAGAUGGGAUAAUUUCAUGAUCACUAAAAAAUUUGUUUAUCGAUAAAAGAAAAAAUGAACAAAAUUCUUAAUCGAUAAGGCAGUUCUAGAUAAUGGGAUGUUCAAGCAAAGAGAAUCAAGCUUCAUGCAAUUCAAUCCUUGCGCUCAAAUGACAUUUCAGUUAGGUAGAAGAUUGCGAAAUUAAAUCCUAGAACGAGUUAAAAAUGCAUCAAUAUUGAAAGCGCAUGUUACAAGAAGUUCUAGCAUACUUAUUUCUGGUUGUAAUUCACACCUACCCCUUUCAUAAUAGAUUUUAUGUGCGGUGUUUAUACAACCGAGCAGUCAACAGAAUACUAAAAGGUAACUUGAUCACCAAAAAGCCUAAUUACAUAUCAAAGCUCUCCGCUGCUCUACCUAAUCAGCUAAUA
Juglans microcarpa x Juglans regia is the source of this 698-nucleotide long non-coding RNA. RefSeq lists it as uncharacterized. The record is from RefSeq and is a predicted model, not a curated record. Lineage: Eukaryota; Viridiplantae; Streptophyta; Magnoliopsida; Fagales; Juglandaceae. The transcript is spliced from 2 exons.